GACACUGUCUGCCCUAUAACCCACCCUCUUGAUGCUGCCUGCCCCAUAUUCCACCCUCCUGAUGCUGCCUGCCCCAUACCCCAGGCUGGGGUGCUCAAACCUUCUCCUUCCUAGAACCCCCAGUGCACAAGACUCGGGAGGUGGGUGGUGCUCCCUGCCUUUUGCCCCCAGGCUGAUUUCUCAAGAAGGCUCAUUAGAGGGUGAUUGGGAGGAAUACUUGAGCCAGAGCUAUUUGGGAGGGGUCCCUGCCCUCUUAGGUGCCCACCUCCCCACCCAGCAGCUCCCAUGCCACCCCACCCUCUUGCCUGGGUCACAGUGACCUUUGUCUGGGGCAGAAAUCAAGCCUCCACCCUCCACCACCGGGCAGAGCAUCAGGGAUGAGUGCCGACCCAGCCAGCCCGGAUCUCAGCUUUCCGAGGGAAGGGCAGCUCUCAGCAAGGCUUCCUCCACUCCCCUCUCUGCUGCGAUGAGUUUUGUUUUACAAAGUGUACAAACAAAUAACUCCGGUAUUUGUUUGGUAGACUUAGGUUUUUGUGUUUGUGUUUUGCUUAAAGUGGGACAUGUCUAUCACUCAGCAUACCCAAACCACCUAGUUGUAAGACAAGAUUUACAUUUGUUCCUUAAGUAGUCAGCUCCUGUCAGUGGAUGCAGCAUGAAAACGUGACAAGUCAUGGACUUCAACAGUCGGAAACAUCUCUAAACGGCUGUCUUCUCAGCCCAGCAGAAGAGCCCUCAGCCAUACCAGGGCUAGCCAGCCUUCCAGAGGAGCCUGUCCCCUGCUCUCCUGGGGACCCCAGCACCGGCUGAAGCCUCCAGAGUGACUCAUGGCUCUAUGUCCAUCACUGCAGCUCUGGAGGAGUAACCACGGCACACAUACCCUUCUAUGGGACACCUGCAAAUACUUUUCAAUAAGCUCGAGUCCAUUUCAUCAUCAACACAAACAGAAAGACCCUCCACUAGGUCUCUCACCCGCUUGACAUAAAUUUGUUUUUCAUAUUCCUCAUGGAAAAUAGAGCUACGCUUGAUCAGGAAGGUGAAAAUGGAAUGGGUGAGGGUAUUUAAAUUCUCUCUUCUCUCUCUUCCCUCCUUGCUAUGUGUACUUGGAAUAAGUGCACACGCUCAGCUUUAAGAGCUGUUUGGGACUUGGGAACCAGCUUGCCUGGACAUCAGAGGCCACAAAGUCCGUCCCUGUCUCUUUGCAGUCUGUGCAGUUGCCCCGGUUGGUGGAGCCAUGGUGGCUGUGCCCUGUGGGUUGUGAAUGAUUGCAGGGGGGCUGCGGAUCAAUAAAUGCUGCAAGAAUGACCCAUAAAUCAAAGAGCAAUAUGCCUCCCACUCAUAAAUGGGGCCAUUUUUCAAAAAGACGUCGAUGGUGUGGUGGUCAGUAAUGCA
This 1389-nucleotide long non-coding RNA is filed under the name Homo sapiens (human). Its description in RNAcentral is "HSALNT0265898". The record is from RNAcentral. Lineage: Eukaryota; Metazoa; Chordata; Mammalia; Primates; Hominidae.